AUUGAACGCUGGCGGCAGGCCUAACACAUGCAAGUCGAACGAGUGGCGGACGGGUGAGUAAUGUCUGGGAAACUGCCUGAUGGAGGGGGAUAACUACUGGAAACGGUAGCUAAUACCGCAUACCAUCGGAUGUGCCCAGAUGGGAUUGGCUAGUAGGUGGGGUAACGGCUGACCUAGGCGACGAUCCCUAGCUGGUCUGAGAGGAUGACCAGCCACACUGAAACUGAGGCACGGUCAGGACUCCUACGAGAGGAAGCAGUGGGGAAUAUUGCACAAUGGGCGCAAGCCUGAUGCAGCCAUGCCGCGUGUAUGAAGAGGGCCUUCGGGUUGUAAAGUACUUUCAGCGGGGAGGCGUUACCCGCAGAAGAAGCACCGGCUAACUCCGUGCCAGCAGCCGCGGUAAUUC
RNAcentral lists this ribosomal RNA (406 nucleotides) under uncultured bacterium. Its description in RNAcentral is "partial 16S ribosomal RNA". It matches the Rfam family "Bacterial small subunit ribosomal RNA", at positions 30 to 526 of the family's 1533-position model. The record is from RNAcentral.